GCAAGGAGAGGAGGGAGGACAGAGAGAUGGAUAAGAAUUAAGAAAAGAACUUCCCUUUUUAUCCAAUUCUCCCCCAGCCAUUGUUAACCAAAGUGGUGGCAUACAAGGUGGUAAAAAGAAGACUCAACGCCAAGCCUGAAGCUCUUUGAAAUUUAAAGUGGAGUGAGGAGAGAAGGAACUAGGAGACUGAGAAAGCAGAGGCCAGUGAUGUAGACGGAAAAUAGGAGUGUGGAAUCACAGAAGCCAAGGGAAGAAAGUGAUU
Long non-coding RNA from Lemur catta (Ring-tailed lemur), 262 nucleotides. RefSeq lists it as uncharacterized. The transcript has 3 exons. Lineage: Eukaryota; Metazoa; Chordata; Mammalia; Primates; Lemuridae. The record is from RefSeq and is a predicted model, not a curated record.